RNAcentral lists this ribosomal RNA (229 nucleotides) under uncultured bacterium. RNAcentral describes it as "partial 16S ribosomal RNA". It matches the Rfam family "Bacterial small subunit ribosomal RNA", at positions 568 to 796 of the family's 1533-position model. The record is from RNAcentral.
CAUGUAGGCGGCCCGCCAAGUCUGAUGUGAAAGCCCGGGGCUCAACCCCGGAAGUGCAUUGGAAACUGGCGAACUUGAGUACGGGAGAGGAAAGUGGAAUUUCGAGUGUAGGGGUGAAAUCCGUAGAUAUUCGAAGGAACACCAGUGGCGAAGGCGGCUUUCUGGACCGAUACUGACGCUGAGAUGCGAAAGCGUGGGGAGCAAACAGGAUUAGAUACCCUGGUAGUCC